GUGUCGGGCCAGACUCAGCCCCAGAAACCAGCCACCCUGCCGCGUCCGACUGCCAGGGAUCCCUCACGCCGCGAGGUGGAGUCUCGCUCUGUCGCCCAGGCUGGAGUACAGUGGUGCGAUCUUGGCUCCCUGCAACUUCUGCCUCCCAGGUUCAAGCGAUUUUCCUGCCUCAGCUUCCUGAGUAGCUGGGACUACAGGAAGAGACACUAGAGAGACACUCAGCUGCAGUGAGAAUACACAGGCAUCUUCAAGUACCAGAGAUGUCUCCAAGAGCACCAGCAACCCCAGCUAUCUGGAUCUGAAGUGGAUAUGCUCAGAGACAUCCUGGCCCACCCCAAAGAAGAUGCUGCUGCACUCAGAAGACGCCAGAGCUAGCCACCACCCACACUGCAAGUCUGGAAGCUCUGCAAGGACCCAGCAAGGCAGCCUGCUCAGCGAAGGCUUUGUCUCCUGUGGCAGGAAGAGCAACAUUAAGAACAAGAACCCCGGGCUGGACUACCCCUGAGAUUUAAUGACCAGAGCUGAGACCCCCAAGACCACAAUGACUAUGGAGGGCUGUCAUUACCCUGCCUGACCCUCUAAUGCCUCUCAGUUCAAGGAGGCCACUGAGUGAAACUGAAGGCUGGUUUUCCUUGGAAGCCAGCGGCCCAUCCACCUGCUCCACUUCCCUGCCUCUUGCAGCCUCCGCUCAAACACUGUCGUGGCUUGGCAGCACUACAAGUAUUUCAGGGGCUGCCAAGCUGCUCUCCUGUUUCCUCUUCCUUGGGGCUGAUUGCAUCCCAUGAUGUGCCCAGGUUUUGAGAUGCUCCUCGUGAAUGAAAAUAGGACUGUCUGGUUCCUCCAUCCAUAGCAAGGGAGCCUAGACAGAAAUAACUUCUGUGCAUUUCUCCAGCUACAUUUAGGGAAAACUAGAAAAUACAGAAAUAUAUCAAGAAGAAAAAAAAUUUAAAAA
This 952-nucleotide long non-coding RNA is filed under the name Homo sapiens (human). RNAcentral describes it as "HSALNT0339816". The record is from RNAcentral. Lineage: Eukaryota; Metazoa; Chordata; Mammalia; Primates; Hominidae.